AGUGAACGCUGGCGGUAGGCCUAACACAUGCCAGUCGAACGGCAGCACAGUAAGAGCUUGCUCUUACGGGUGGCGAGUGGCGGACGGGUGAGGAAUACAUCGGAAUCUACUUUUUCGUGGGGGAUAACGUAGGGAAACUUACGCUAAUACCGCAUACGACCUACGGGUGAAAGCAGGGGAUCUUCGGACCUUGCGCGAUUGAAUGAGCCGAGGUCGGAGUAGCUAGUUGGCGGGGUAAAGGCCCACCAAGGCGACGAUCCGUAGCUGGUCUGAGAGGAUGAUCAGCCACACUGGAACUGAGACACGGUCCAGACUCCUACGGGAGGCAGCAGUGGGGAAUAUUGGACAAUGGGCGCAAGCCUGAUCCAGCCAUACCGCGUGGGUGAAGAAGGCCUUCGGGUUGUAAAGCCCUUUUGUUGGGAAAGAAAAGCAGCAGGUUAAUACCCCGCUGUUCUGACGGUACCCAAAGAAUAAGCACCGGCUAACUUCGUG
Molecule: ribosomal RNA, 492 nt
Filed under: uncultured bacterium
Lineage: Bacteria
Description: partial 16S ribosomal RNA
Rfam family: Bacterial small subunit ribosomal RNA
Source: RNAcentral